This 520-nucleotide ribosomal RNA is filed under the name uncultured Glomus. RNAcentral's name for it is "SSU rRNA". It matches the Rfam family "Eukaryotic small subunit ribosomal RNA", at positions 569 to 1091 of the family's 1831-position model. Lineage: Eukaryota; Fungi; Glomeromycota; Glomeromycetes; Glomerales; Glomeraceae. The record is from RNAcentral.
AGCAGCCGCGGUAAUUCCAGCUCCAAUAGCGUAUAUUAAAGUUGUUGCAGUUAAAAAGCUCGUAGUUGAAUUUCGGGGUCAGUAGGUUGGUCAUGCCUCCGGUAUGUACUGGUCUCACUGAUUCCUCCUUCCUGAUGAGCCGUAAUGCCAUUAAUUUGGUGUUGCGGGGAAUCUGGACUGUUACUUUGAAAAAAUUAGUGUGUUUAAAGCAAGCUAACGCUUGAAUACAUUAGCAUGGAAUAAUGGAAUAGGACGUUCGAUCCUAUUUUGUUGGUUUCUAGGGUUGACGUAAUGAUUAAUAGGGAUAGUUGGGGGCAUUAGUAUUCAAUUGUCAGAGGUGAAAUUCUUGGAUUUAUUGAAGACUAACUACUGCGAAAGCAUUUGCCAAGGAUGUUUUCAUUAAUCAAGAACGAAAGUUAGGGGAUCGAAGACGAUCAGAUACCGUCGUAGUCUUAACCAUAAACUAUGCCGACUAGGGAUCGGAUGAUGUUAAUUUUUAAUGACUCAUUCGGCGCCUUAA